Molecule: long non-coding RNA, 531 nt
Organism: Cyprinus carpio (common carp)
Lineage: Eukaryota; Metazoa; Chordata; Actinopteri; Cypriniformes; Cyprinidae
Source: Ensembl
CCUGACUUCUAAGGGGUGUUAUUAUUUGUGAUUACGCCAAACAGCCUAGAAUUAUAUCAGUACAACAUCACAUUUUUCUUUUCUGUUUGCAGGAAGAUUUGGUGUUGAUGGAGGAGGCAACAUCUUCAAGGCAAAACCUUAGACCUGAUGCAACAUCAUCCAGUGUCACAAUCACCCUUUAGGAGGUGCAAAAGCAAAAGCUAAAUUGAACAUUGUCAAUCAUCAAUUCCUAUUUUACAAAAUUUGUCCUGCAUACAUUUUUAUCUUUAAUGUGUAGGCACUUGAAGACCAGUGCCCAAUAUGCACAGGAACAUUUCCAGUGUCAGAAGUAGACCUGCCAUGCCAGAUUUUGUGGAAACAGGUCGAAAUCCCCUCUGACCUCAAGAUUUUCUUCUGGAAGUGUUCUGGACGCGUUUUUGUUUUCCCUUUGCUUCACUUAGAGUCUUUCAUGUUGAGCAGAAGUUAAUUUCUCUGUCUCUGUUUCUCUGUUGCACUUGAUACAGAAUCUCUGGGUGAGCGUCACCAGCUGUG